GAUGAACGCUGGCGGCGUGCCUAAUACAUGCAAGUCGAGCGAACAGACGAGGAGCUUGCUCCUUUGACGUUAGCGGCGGACGGGUGAGUAACACGUGUAUACCCUCCCUAUCAGACUGGGAUAACUUCGGGAAACCGGAGCUAAUCCCGUAUAACCUGUUGAUCCGUAUUGUGCAACAGUGAAUGACGGUCUUGCUGUCACUUCUAGCUGGAUCUCGGCCGCAUUAGCUAGUUGUUAAGGUAACGGCUUACCAAGGCAACGAUGCGUAGCCGACGUGACAGAGGGAUAGGCGACACGGGAGCUGGAACAGGGACAAGACGACUAAGAGAGGCAGCAGAAGGGAAUGGGCCGCAGUGGGCGAGAGCAUGACGGAGCAGGGCGGAGUGAGUGAAGAAGGUCUUCGGAGCGUAAAACUCGGUUAUUAGGGAAGAACAGAUGUGGAAGGAACUAAGCAGGUAGUGACGGUAACUAAUCAGAAAGCCACGGCUAACUACGUG
RNAcentral lists this ribosomal RNA (497 nucleotides) under uncultured bacterium. Its description in RNAcentral is "partial 16S ribosomal RNA". It matches the Rfam family "Bacterial small subunit ribosomal RNA", at positions 28 to 507 of the family's 1533-position model. The record is from RNAcentral.